Gasterosteus aculeatus aculeatus (three-spined stickleback) is the source of this 4791-nucleotide non-coding RNA. NCBI's taxonomy places the organism in Eukaryota, Metazoa, Chordata, Actinopteri, Perciformes, Gasterosteidae. The record is from RefSeq and is a predicted model, not a curated record.
GGAAGACAGGAAGUUUUACUAGAUGAGACGUGGUAGAAAUGUUUUUUGGAAAGUGGACAGGCGGGUUAACCGGAUCCAGAGACUGUAGGCAUGUUAUCAAUAAGGUAUUCCUGUAUCUCCUCCAUUGAGCAACACCAUUUGAUGUCGUUUAUUUUGUGCAUUCAUGUCAAUUCAUUCAAAAACACUCGAAGAAGCACAGGAUUUACUUCAAAGGAGUAUCGGCCAAUACCAGCUACCGAUCUAUUAGCAGUGUAUAAUUAAUAAUUUGUAUGCCUCAAUUUGUAGCCUUGACCUAAAUAAUGUUUUACUGCCUUUGUAAAGAAUAAAAAAUUGCUCUAAAUUGAACCAAAUAGUUAUUUGCUGUUAGAAUAAUAUGUUGUUUGUGUGUUUUAUUGUACAGAUAUUUAUUGUUAUGUACCAUUCACCUAGCCAAAUGCCAAUGUGUAACAAGCUGUGCAAUAAACAGUUUUUGAUUGUUGGUCAAAGCUUAUACAGGAUUUAAAAUUCCAGUAUAUAACAUAGUUUCUAAACAAAAUGUAGUUGAAUAUAUCAGCCCUAUUUUUACUACUACAUGAUCUAGCCAUUUCAGUCGGUAUCGCCCUGAUAUCAGUGUCAAUGCAUCCCUACUAGGGUCUACUGUCAACAUUAACUCAUUAAUCUAUGCGAAUAAAGUGCCUAUAAUAAUGCCUAGAUUAAUGUGCCAACAUAUUUUAACAUUGUUAAUGUUCGUUUGUUUACUUCCGGUUUACUUUCGAGACCGGAAAUAAACCGAAAGUUGGCCGUGGAAACGAAACAGCCGUUAGCUCCAGUCAGUUACAUCAAGUAAAACAAACAGGGGUGCGACAUACAGCAGAGAACUGUGCGGAGGAAUCACUCCACGUGUCAAACAGACGUGAAUGUCAGACCUGACCCAGACCUGGUGAGCCCAGAGUCCUACCUGCUGGUGCACAGGUGCCUUGGGCCUAGGAGGUAGGAAGUUGGGCUUGCCAGCACAUUAUGCAUUGUGUAAUGAGGAUGAUAGGUACUGUGAUUAAUGGCUGUUUUGUACAUUGCAGGCUGAACUGCUGAGUGGUCAGCAGGGCAGCCACUGCUCUUUUUCUCCGACUAUAGUUUUGUUAGUAUUCUGCUCUAGUGCCUCCAUCUUGCCCUCUAUUUAUAAAGAUAACAAACUGAUAUUGUGCCCUUUGAUGACCUUUGCUUCCACCUUCCCCACUUCUAUUGUGUUGUGUAUAUUUACCAGGAUCAUUAGUAUUUGUGUGUGCCCAACAUGAUUCGCAGUGGUGGUUAUUUUAGCCUUUUUUCUUUUAACAGUGUGCUGUGUUUUUAUUGUUGGAAGUGUCAUUGUUGCCCCCGGUCAAUCACUAUUGGUAUAAUUUAUUUUGAUGUGUUUCUAUAAAGGAAUUGUUUAAAUAAAAGUGAUAUUGCACUGUACACGCAGAAGCCUCAGUCUGUCUAUGAUCUACCUUGUAUGGGGUUUUUGGCCAGUAAAAUAAUUGAAUUCAGGGUCUCUCCCCUCAAAGAGGGGCGUUGUCACGUCUGGAUAUUAUUCCAAAGUAUUUUAAGUGUCCAUUUGGUCACAUAUAUCCCAUGGUUUUAUAUUUGUAACCCAUCCCCCACAGUGGGAGUAGUGUGGUAAGGGCAACUGCAUAGCAGGUAGGGGUUGGGUGUCUUGCUCUGGGACAAUUCAACCACCAACCUUGCUGUUCCCAGCACACCCUCUACUCUAUGCGCCACGUUCAUUUGAUUUAACCAGGCUAUGAAUCAUGUACUUUAAUCAAAAUAACUACCAAUUUAAUUUUUCAUUUGAAGCUUUGCCAAUACACAGAUGAGACUCAUGUCUGUGUAAUAGAGGAGUCUUCUGUCCUCUGAAAGUUGAGUUACAGUUCAAUUUAGGCGGUCUAUUACAGCAUGCAAAGUACAGAAAUAAAAAAAGACCAGUACUAUUUAACAAGGAUUUUUUUUUUUUUUAUAAAACAUGGAACCCAUCAGAAAUAUAGCAGACCGGCUGGAUGACCGAAAAAGACGAAUGAAGUUCAACCUUUGGCAAAACAUGUUAUGACGACAUGUAGAUAAAAAAUAUCUAAAACCAAAAGCAACGUUUAGUUCAUGCUGUAGACUUAAUAUAUACUAUUCACCACAUAUAUACCAUGAUAUAUAUUCAUUCUUUUUUACUAUUUACAUAUGUUUUAAUGGAUAGAUUAAUACAUUGUCCAGCCUCUGUACCCCGACUGACAUAAGUUCUGAUAUUACAACCAUGACCCUCCCACUCCCAAAGGUCCGUCCUGUAUGCCACCACCAAAGGAAUCUGGAGGGGAUUCGGUGCUGAGAUGGACGUACUUCCCAGGAUCCUCUGUGGACAAGGAUGCUGAGAUCAGCUCGUCGGUGCACCUGGCAGGCUCUCCCUGCACGUGAACUCCCAUAUUGUGGUGGCGGGGUGUGGAUGGCUCCGCUGCAGAGCGGAGUUGUUCAGGGAACAGUGCCGGUAAGUAGUUAACAAGUUAGCAACCAGCCGGUGCUCGGAGAGAAAAAUAAAAUAAAAAAUAGAUAAAUAAAGUAUAUUGCCGAGAAGAACUCAUCGUGUCCGUGUGUCCUUCGACGAACCCCGUAGAGAUAGCUCCAUCGCGGCUACACGUAUAUUUCACCAAAAUUCUUCCUCCUUUUCUGCAUCCUGUUGUAUCGGACUGGCGGGGAGGAGAGAAGGUGGGCAGAAAGUCAAGUUAAUUAAUUAUCUAGCAGGAGGAGACAUGUAUUUUGGAAAGUAGAUGGACCAGCUAAACCGAAACCAGAGAGCCAAACUGUAGGCGUGUUACCAGUAAUCAAAAACACUUUACUUCCAAGGAGGAGGCGAUCAAUAAAGACCUGCUACCGCAGUCGACAGGGGUCGGAGGUCGCACUCACCUGACGUACUUUUUGCUAUACUUUUAGCUAACUAGCAAGCAAGACAAUGAGCGUGAAUGUUUCGGUGACACAAAAACUGUUGCUGACGUUGUUGACGAUGACUUUGGGGGCGGGUUCUAUAACGUUCUAUGACUGUUCUGUCAGACUGUGGCGGAGAACCGAAAAGGCGGGAAGAAUCCCAGCAAUUUAAUGAAUUAUCGAAUUACUGAAUAGCAUAUUUUAUUUUAUUACGCGUGCACUGUUGUCUUGUCGUCUAUUGUCGUACUGUCUACUGUUUCGCACCAACCGCCAAGUCAAAUUCCUUGUAUGUCUGACAUAUUAUGGCAAUAAAUGUUUCCUGAUUCCUGAAAUGAGACUUGAUAGACAUGUUUUUUUGGUGGACAGACCAGUUACCCGAAACCAGAGAGCCAAACUGUAGGCGUGUCACCAGUAAAGUGUACAUGUUUUAUCUUUAGUGCCUCCAUUGAGCAACGGCAUUUGCAUUUAUGUCUUUCAAAAACACUUGAAGAAGGAGAGGAUUUACUUCCAAGGAGUUGGCGAACAAGAUUAGAUUACAUUAGAUCAACGUCCUUCCCCCGGGUCAUCAUAAAGACUUUUAAAGGUGUCAAGGAAUAAAACUUACAAUGAUGAAUCAUCCCGUUGAGAAGCUUGGAAACAUACCUUGUGUGUUUGUAUUAUUCUGAUUUGUGUCAUUGAUAUGCGUUUAUUGCAAUCAGACACAGAAAUGAUUUCUGGACGUUUGGUCCCUUUUCAAGGCGUGAUUGCCACCCACAGAAUCAUCGCCAGUCCCCCGGACACAGAUAUCAGUACAGGGACUGCGGGUAGGUAACUAAUUUCAUAUUCUCUUAACCUCGGCUCCCUCUAAAGUUUUUUUUGUGGGGUUUUUAAAAUGGGAAUAAUAGUAAUGCACGAAUAAUUAAUGAUGAUAUGAAUAAUGUAAAUAAUAACAAGACUGCACAGCAAUAUUUACCUUGUAGUAUAUAUGUAAUGUCUUUUCUUUUUAGUCUGAUACAAAGACAUGCAAUCAACACAAAGAGAAAAAAAAACAAUGUAUUUACAAUUUACAAAGAAUCACUUCUCUGUGAAAAUGGCACUUAUAAAUAUGAUUUACAUAACAAAAUAAAUAUGUAAAUUACCAAUGUAGCUUGAGAUUUUUUUUCUGUUAGAAAAUAUGUUACAGAAUAAAAUUACAAGUAGUAAUACAUUUCCUUCUCUGGUGUGAUGCGAAAUAAAGGUCCUUUAAAAACAAUUAUAAAGACAUCAUUACAUACAACAUUGUCAUUAUAUUAGAAAGUGAUCUCUAUUAUGAAAUAUAAGAAGGGAGUUACAUUAGUGAACACUUGAAUGAACCUAUACAAAUACUCAAAAGAAAUAUACAAUACACAUCAUUUGUCUCCCUUUAAAUGUUCAUUGCAUUGAUCUGAGGAUCGCUGAGCUACUGACCUAACAUGAGUGUCUGGGGUUUGAACAGCCUUCUUGAGAUGAAGUGGCCUGUGAGAAAGAGGUAAAGACUAGACGUAAUGGCCCUGUGGUGAAUGUAUAGCUACUAAUUAACCUGCAGCUUGAGCAGCCAUCUGAACCGGCCAUUUCAAACUAAAUAUUUCCCUCAGAUUGCAAUGCUAACACGUGUGAGUUACCGUAAUAAUUUAUCUUUACCCACAAAAAUUGCCACAGUAAUAUAUAUUUUUUGAGCAUUGUCUGUCUUUAUAUGCUUUUUCUGGCUACUUACAAUAUUUGAUAUUUGUCUGUCUUUAAUUUGAGAAGCCUAAAAUGUUCUGCUAAUUUCUUGGGUUUAUUGUUUUUUUUCUUUUAAAUGUCAUUAUUACUUAAAGUUGCUGUCCUCGUUACUCUCUGGCCAAUAAAAAAACAUCCAUGGGUGUUAGUGUCUUGCUA